GGGGAGCCAUCGGAAGUACUCAUUAGAAGCCGACAAUGAAAGUAGCAAGAGAAGGUCUGCAAAAAGCUGGAAGGAGAAUCCACUUUAAAUUAAAAAUAAAAUCAGAACUUUUUGUGAGAUCUCAUGGAAGACUUGGGUACUUGUCAAGCCAUGUGAGGCCAGCAUAUUCAGGAAACAAGAACCACUUGGAUUUCUGGAAAGAUCUUUAUUGCUAGUAAGAUUCCUUAUCCUAACAGUUCACCAAAUCCUGGAAAGGAGAUAUGAAAUUCUAAACCACUGGACUGCGUUGAUCCUAACACUUGGAAGUCUUGCUAGCCAACAGCCU
This is a long non-coding RNA of Candoia aspera, 325 nucleotides long. RefSeq lists it as uncharacterized. The transcript has 3 exons. Lineage: Eukaryota; Metazoa; Chordata; Lepidosauria; Squamata; Candoiidae. The record is from RefSeq and is a predicted model, not a curated record.